GUGAGCAGCAGCCAAGACCUGCCUCGGGGUUUGUGUGGAGAGAGCUCCUCCAGUACAAGUCCCCUGGGUGCAGAUGCGAAGAUGCGGCCCCACUGUAACACUGCACACCAUUCAUCUUCCGGUCAGCCGUUCUUUGCAAACCCAAAGCCACAAAAUCAGCUGAACACCAACCAAACCAUUGCGGGCAGGGGAGUGCCGGAGGAGGUGGGGGGACAAGGACUGGACCUGUGGGAGGACGAGACGAGAUAAACGCAGUGUGUUCCGGUGGCUGAGCAAGACUCCGCUCUGUCAAGAUAAAUCGAAGAGGUGGAAGAUCCCAGUUAUUAAGCAGUGGUGCCUAGAACUGUAUUUAAAUAUCUUAAUGGUAAUGUGAUGUUAUUGUGCUAUUUUUCGACUGGAUAACUUGGUAUAUGGUACCAAAAUAUGCACUCAGUGACCACUUUAUUAGGUAC
Long non-coding RNA from Brienomyrus brachyistius, 452 nucleotides. RefSeq lists it as uncharacterized. The record is from RefSeq and is a predicted model, not a curated record. The transcript has 3 exons. Lineage: Eukaryota; Metazoa; Chordata; Actinopteri; Osteoglossiformes; Mormyridae.